RNAcentral lists this ribosomal RNA (1482 nucleotides) under uncultured bacterium. Its description in RNAcentral is "bacterial SSU rRNA". It matches the Rfam family "Bacterial small subunit ribosomal RNA". The record is from RNAcentral.
GAGUUUGAUCCUGGCUCAGGAUGAACGCUAGCGGCAGGCUUAACACAUGCAAGUCGAGGGGUAACAUUGGUGCUUGCAUCAGAUGACGACCGGCGCACGGGUGAGUAACGCGUAUACAAUUUACCUUAUACAGAGGGAUAGCCUUUAGAAAUGAAGAUUAAUACCUCAUGGUAUUGAGGUGUGGCAUCACACUUUAAUUAAAGAUUUAUCGGUAUAAGAUGAGUAUGCGUCCUAUUAGCUAGAUGGUAGAGUAAUGGUUUACCAUGGCAACGAUAGGUAGGGGUCCUGAGAGGGAGACCCCCCACACUGGUACUGAGACACGGACCAGACUCCUACGGGAGGCAGCAGUGAGGAAUAUUGGACAAUGGAGGCAACUCUGAUCCAGCCAUGCCGCGUGCAGGAAGACUGCCCUAUGGGUUGUAAACUGCUUUUAUAGAGGAAGAAACCCUCCCACGUGUGGGAGGCUGACGGUACUCUACGAAUAAGCACCGGCUAACUCCGUGCCAGCAGCCGCGGUAAUACGGAGGGUGCAAGCGUUAUCCGGAAUCAUUGGGUUUAAAGGGUCCGUAGGCGGGCAAAUAAGUCAGAGGUGAAAUCCCACAGCUCAACUGUAGAACUGCCAUUGAUACUGUCUUUCUUGAGUAUAGUUGAGGUAGGCGGAAUGUGUAGUGUAGCGGUGAAAUGCAUAGAUAUUACACAGAACACCGAUUGCGAAGGCAGCUUACUAAACUAUUACUGACGCUCAUGCACGAAAGCGUGGGGAGCGAACAGGAUUAGAUACCCUGGUAGUCCACGCCGUAAACGAUGAUUACUCGUUGUCUGCGAUACACUGUAGGCGACUGAGCGAAAGCAUUAAGUAAUCCACCUGGGGAGUACGUUCGCAAGAAUGAAACUCAAAGGAAUUGACGGGGGCCCGCACAAGCGGAGGAACAUGUGGUUUAAUUCGAUGAUACGCGAGGAACCUUACCCGGGUUUAAAUGCAGAGUGACAGGCCCUGAAAGGGGUUUUUCUUCGGACACUUUGCAAGGUGCUGCAUGGUUGUCGUCAGCUCGUGCCGUGAGGUGUCGGGUUAAGUCCCAUAACGAGCGCAACCCCUACCCUUAGUUGCCAUCAGGUAAAGCUGGGGACUCUAAGGGAACUGCCUACGCAAGUAGAGAGGAAGGUGGGGAUGACGUCAAAUCAGCACGGCCCUUACGUCCAGGGCUACACACGUGCUGCAAUGGCCGGUACAGAGGGCAGCCACCCCGCGAGGGGAAGCGAAUCUCGAAAGCCGGUCUCAGUUCGGAUCGAAGUCUGCAACCCGACUUCGUGAAGCUGGAAUCGCUAGUAAUCGCGUAUCAGCAAUGACGCGGUGAAUACGUUCCCGGGCCUUGUACACACCGCCCGUCAAGCCAUGGAAGCUGGGGGUACCUGAAGUCGGUAACCGAAAGGAGCUGCCUAGGGUAAAACUAGUGACUGGGGCUAAGUCGUAACAAGGUAGCC